Molecule: ribosomal RNA, 482 nt
Filed under: uncultured bacterium
Lineage: Bacteria
Description: partial 16S ribosomal RNA
Rfam family: Bacterial small subunit ribosomal RNA
Source: RNAcentral
GAUGAACGCUAGCGGCAGGCCUAAUACAUGCAAGUCGGACGGGAUUCAGGAGCUUGCUUCUGAUGAGAGUGGCGCACGGGUGCGUAGCACGUAUGUAACCUACCUUUAUCAGGGGGAUAGCCUCUCGAAAGAGAGAUUAAGCCCGCAUAAAAUCACAGCACAGCAUUGUGUAAUGAUCAAAUAUUUAUAGGAUAAAGAUGGGCAUGCGGAACAUUAGCUAGAUGGCGGGGUAACGGCCCACCAUGGCGACGAUGUUUAGGGGAUCUGAGAGGAUGGCCCCCCACACUGGUACUGAGACACGGACCAGACUCCUACGGGAGGCAGCAGUAAGGAAUAUUGGUCAAUGGGCGGAAGCCUGAACCAGCCAUGCCGCGUGCAGGAAGACGGCCCUACGGGUUGUAAACUGCUUUUAUACGGGAAUAAACCCAGAUACGUGUAUCUGGCUGAAUGUACUGUAAGAAUAAGAAUCGGCUAACUCCGUG